GACGAACGCUGGCGGCGUGCCUAAUACAUGCAAGUUGAGCGAUGAAGAUUGGUGCUUGCACCAAUUUGAAGAGCCGCGCACGGGUGAGUAACGCGUGGGGCAUCUGCCUUUGAUCGGGGGACAACAUUUGGAAACGAAUGCUAAUACCGCAUAACAACUUUAAACAUAAGUUUUAAGUUUGAAAGAUGCAAUUUCAUCACUCAAGGAUGGUCCCGCGUUGUAUUAGUUAGUUGGUGGGGUAGUGGCUCACCAAGGCGAUGCAACAUAGCCGACCUGAGAGGGUGAACGGCAACAUUGGGACUGAGAAACGGCCCAGACUGCGACGGGAGGCAGCGGUGGGGAAUAGUGAACACGGGGCGGAAGACUGAUGAAGCAACGCCGCGUGCGGGAUAACGGCCUUCGGGUUGUAAACAGAUUUCGCCUGUGACGAAGCGUGAGUGACGGUAAUGGGUAAAGAAGCACCGGCUAACUACGCG
Molecule: ribosomal RNA, 476 nt
Filed under: uncultured bacterium
Lineage: Bacteria
Description: partial 16S ribosomal RNA
Rfam family: Bacterial small subunit ribosomal RNA
Source: RNAcentral